This 478-nucleotide ribosomal RNA is filed under the name uncultured bacterium. Its description in RNAcentral is "partial 16S ribosomal RNA". It matches the Rfam family "Bacterial small subunit ribosomal RNA", at positions 28 to 523 of the family's 1533-position model. The record is from RNAcentral.
GAUGAACGCUGGCGGCGUGCUUAACACAUGCAAGUCGAACGAUUAAAGCCCCUUCGGGGGUGUAUAGAGUGGCGAACGGGUGAGUAACACGUGGGCAAUCUGCCCCUCACUUCGGGAUAACUCAGGGAAACUUGAGCUAAUACCGGAUACUCCGGGAAGGUCGCAUGGCCAACCCGGGAAAGCUCCGACGGUGGGGGGUGAGCCCGCGGCCCAUUAGCUGGUUGGUGAGGUAACGGCUCACCAAGGCGACGAUGGGUAGCCGAGCUGAGAGGCUGAUCGGCCACACUGGGACUGAGAAGCGGCCCAGACUCCGACGGGAGGCAGCAGUGGGGAAUUUUGCGCAAUGGGCGAAAGCCUGACGCAGCAACGCCGCGUGCGGGAUGAAGGCCUUCGGGUUGUAAACCGCUUUCAGCAGGGAUGAAAUUGACAGUACCUGCAGAAGAAGCCCCGGCUAACUACGUGCCAGCCGCCGCGGUAA